GUGUCAGCAGCCGCGGUAAUACGUAGGGUCCGAGCGUUAUCCGGUAUUAUUGGGCGUAAAGAGUACGUAGGCGGUUUGGUAAGACAAUGGUUAAAUCUCCGGGCUCAACCCGGAACCAGCCGUUGUGACUGCCAGACUAGUCGAGAGCAGGGGCAAGCGGAAUUGUCGGUGUAGGAGUGAAAUCCGUUGAGAUCGACAAGAACACCAAUGGCGAAGGCAGCUUGCUAGGCUCUAUGAGACGCUGAGGUACGAAAGCGUGGGGAGCGAACGGGAUUAGAAACCCCCGUAGUCC
This 292-nucleotide ribosomal RNA is filed under the name uncultured bacterium. Its description in RNAcentral is "partial 16S ribosomal RNA". It matches the Rfam family "Bacterial small subunit ribosomal RNA", at positions 505 to 796 of the family's 1533-position model. The record is from RNAcentral.